Molecule: non-coding RNA, 113 nt
Organism: Acanthosepion pharaonis
Lineage: Eukaryota; Metazoa; Mollusca; Cephalopoda; Sepiida; Sepiidae
Source: the annotation of a GenBank genome assembly
UUACGGUCAUACCGCAUUGAAACACUGAUUCUUGUACGAUCACCGAAGUUAAACAACAUUGAGCCUAGUCAGUACAAAGAUAGGUGACCCCUUCGGAAUACUAGGUGGUGUAA